This 462-nucleotide ribosomal RNA is filed under the name uncultured bacterium. RNAcentral describes it as "bacterial SSU rRNA". It matches the Rfam family "Bacterial small subunit ribosomal RNA", at positions 338 to 795 of the family's 1533-position model. The record is from RNAcentral.
CCUACGGGGGGCUGCAGUGAGGAAUCUUGCGCAAUGGGCGAAAGCCUGACGCAGCGACGCCGCGUGGACGAUGAAGGCCUUCGGGUUGUAAAGUCCGACAAACAGGGAAGAAUAAACAAGAGGUAAUAUUUCUUGUGAUGACGGUACCUGUCUGAAGCCCCGGCUAACUACGUGCCAGCAGCCGCGGUAAGACGUAUGGGGCGAGCGUUGUUCGGAAUUAUUGGGCGUAAAGGGCGUCUAGGCGGGGAAUUAAGUUAGGUGUGAAAGCCAUGAGCUUAACUCAUGAAUUGCAUCUAAAACUGGUUCUCUUGAGUUCGGGAGAGGAGAGCGGAAUUCCCGGUGUAGCGGUGAAAUGCGUAGAUAUCGGGAAGAACACCAGUGGCGAAGGCGGCUCUCUGGCCUAGAACUGACGCUGAAGCGCGAAAGCGUGGGGAGCGAACGGGAUUAGAUACCCCAGUAGUC